This is a non-coding RNA of Gossypium arboreum, 107 nucleotides long. The record is from Rfam. NCBI's taxonomy places the organism in Eukaryota, Viridiplantae, Streptophyta, Magnoliopsida, Malvales, Malvaceae.
ACCCCAUGGUGAGGGAGUCUUUGCAAAAGGUCCUUAUAUCUCUCCCAUGCAUCGUAGAGUGUUUCUAAAUCCAUCUGCACAAAAGAAGAGAUAUGAUUACGUAGUUU